CUUAUUUAUUUAUUUAUUUAUUUGAGCCAGUUGGCUGCAACAAGUGUUUGCAAGACUCCUUAAGUUGGUUAUUGCUUUGGGUUAUUUUCACCAUGGCCUUCUCCUCCACCCAUCUUUCUUUUACCCCUCUUACGUGGGAUCAAUAAAGGUUUAGACCAAAAAUAUUAUGCAUAGGCUACCAUUUUAUUAGCUAUUUACCUAAGCCAAUUUUAUAUUCUACGAUGAUGGGUUUCCUGCUGACAUGCCUGAAACUUUUUGCUUCUGAACAUUCUGUGCUUUUCUCAUUUAUGUUAUGUGUCUUGUAGAGCUUACUAGAAUUGACAAUUGCUAAUUGAAAUAAUUCUCUACAAAAUUUUUCCUGCUAACUAUAUUUGAA
Molecule: unclassified non-coding RNA, 376 nt
Filed under: Hevea brasiliensis (rubber tree)
Lineage: Eukaryota; Viridiplantae; Streptophyta; Magnoliopsida; Malpighiales; Euphorbiaceae
Source: RNAcentral